CAUAUUUAUUCAAAAACAAAAUUGGUCAAUGUUAACAGUGAAUAUGUACAUAACACCACAAAAUUGCAACUGUAUUUAAGCAUUCAUUAACAUAGGGAAAGUAGGUUACACCAUGAAGGAAGGAUGAUUACAGAUCCAGCUAAAAAACCCAAAAAACCCCUAUGCAGAUUUAAUUGUAGAUCCACUUCACAAACAUUCCAUAAACCAAAUCUUCCAUACCCGACCUCCAUUCGAACAAAGUUGCCUAAUUUCAACUUCCAUCUCUCGUCUCGACCUCAGAAGACCAGGUAUCAGCUCCCUCGAUCUCUGACACAUUGGGGGAUCCCACCAAAGAAAGAAUGUACAGCCAUGCAGAUCCAUACCUCGUGGAUAGGUAAGAAAUCGUCUACCUGGGUUCAAAUUACUCCACGAUGUUUUCAUUUGGGCACGAGUUCCGCAAUUGCACUCUAGCAUCUCCAUUACUUCUACAUUCAGUUUAGGAUGUUGACAGAAAGUGAGAAACUGACAACUGACAGACAAUUUAUUAGGAUUGUACUUGUAUUCUUUAUUUGGAAGGAAACGUAUAUAUAUAUAUAUAUAUAUAAAAUACUUUGUAAAAAAAUUUAUAUGUGAAAUAGAAAUACUAACAUAAGACAAAAAAAUCACUUAUAAUAUAUAAAAAAUUACUGAUAAGUAAUAAAAAAAAAAUUAUUUUAUAGAGGGUAAAAUUAGAAGAGAAUAUAAGAAACAACCAAACCCACCAAUUUGGCGGGUUGAGAGAAUCGAUCAAAAUUACACUAAACCAAGUUUACGUGAUUUUUAAACCAUCCAAUAUCGAUGUCAAAAAUACUAGCAAGCAUGGGUUUUUCUAACCCUUCAUAAAUGGUGCCACCUAAAACCGGUGGGAAAAGAAAUAAAAAAUAAAAUAAAAAUAUCUCCCAAGCAGGCCCUAAGAGGUAUUAGCUUGGAGUGUAAAAUUAGAAAUUAGCAUAAAGCUCAAAUUAGUGUGACUCCUUCCCAAAAAUCAACUAUCUUCUUAUCUUACUAUUUCACGAACUUAGAAAUUUUUCCAACUAUGAAAUCACUCUAUGGAUAAACUAGAGGUGGGCAAAACCCAAACAAACUCGAGAAAACCGCCCAACCCGACCCAACUUAAGGUUUCAGGUAUUGGGUUGGGUAGCCGGGUCGGGUUAUGGGUUAACCAAGCAAGCCCGAUGUAACCCGAUCCGACCCAACUCGACUACAUUAAAAGUUGAAGGCAAAAAAAGAAAAAAAGGGAAAAAAGAGAUAAAUGAAAAGAAGCCUUGAACUAUUCCUAUCCUCUUCACUCUCGUCUCAAAUAGAGACUUCUACGAGUAAAUAGCAAAUUCAUAGUAAUGGGAAAAAGGAAAGCCUGUGCUUCUUUUCCCAAUCCCCAGGAUGUCCCAGCAAAGAGUAUGAUCCAUCUCUUCCCCAACUUUAGUAUAUUAAACUUCUCCAUAGAUGAAAAUCCCAACAGUCAUUUUCCUCUCCUUCAUAGAAACAAAUGCUUCGAUCACCUUAAUAAACGUUUCCAUCGUGAGCAAAUCCUUCUCUUCAGUUCUUCAAGGACAGAUGCCAUGUUCUCAAACUCUCCUCUUCUCAAGAGAUUUUAAUUGCCAGAUCUCAACUUAAGUUCAACUCGCAAUCAUCUCAUAUCUUUGAUUCGAAUCAAUUCACGGGAAAUACAUGAAAUUGACCCAAAUAAGAGAGGUCAUUUUUCAAAAUGGCCCUUGACUUUUCCAAACAUUUGGAACUACCUAAAAUACCUUUAAACAAAUAUUAAAAACAAGAUAUUUCAUAAUAAAAAUCUUCUAUCUAAGUCCUUAAAAAAUUAACAAGUAAUUUUUCUAAAAAUUUGAAAGAAUUAUUAAUGAAUAAUUAUAAAAUGAAAAAAUCCAAAUAUAAGAGAGGACCAUAUAAUAUAAAAAAGGUUGUUAAAAAUAAAAAAGAAAUUAAGUUUGAAAAAGAAAUUGAUAAGAUAGGAUAUCAAGAACAAUUAUAUGCAUCACAAGAAAUAUUAAAGUGUUUCAAAGAAAAUUUAUUAGAAAAUUUUGCUAAAAGAAUUGUAAGAACAAUAAUCAUAAAAGAUAUACAAGGUAUCAUAGAUAAAUUAGAAAAAAGGAAGAAAAAUAUCUUAAAAUACGAUAUACCUUUUAGAACAGACAUAGAUAUGAUAACAGAUGUUGAUAUUAUAAAUUCUCAAACAUUACUAGACUUUGAAAAAUUACUUAAAAAUUUAUGAGAAGACCAAUAAAAAAUAGAUUACCGCAAGCAUACAAAAAAUUAGUUUUUAACCUUAUCUUAAGAUUUUAUAAACGCUUAAUAACAAAUAGAUUAACUAAAACAAAAAUAAAAGAAUUUUUAGAAUAUUAGAUUAUUAGAUUUUUGUUCGCUCAUAGUAGCAUUCAUCUCGUUGUAUUAGAUUAUUAGAUUUUUGUUCGCUCAUAGUAGCAUCCAUCCCGUUGGUAUCAAAGCCAGAGAGAUCAUAAGAAAAUAUAUAAAAAUAAAUUACCUAAAAAGAUACUGAAAAUAAAUAAAAUUAAUCAUUGAAAAGAUAAAGAAAGACCCAAAAAUUUAUGAUUUUACUAGGUAAAAUAUAGUUCUAAUAUAGAAGGCUAUAUAGAAGAAGAUAAUAUAGUUGGAACAUAUAUUAAAGACAUAAAAUAAGUAUUAGAAAUUUUUAGAGUAAUUAAAAAUCUUCCUUUAAAACUAAAAGAAAAAAUAAUUAAAAAGAUAUUAUUUGAAGAAUAUAAGCAUAUAUAUAUAUUAGAAGAAAUCCAGAGUGAAAUAGAUUUCAUAGUAAUCUUAAAAAAAAUAUUUUAUGGAAAUCAUAAAAAUAAAUAAUUAUUAUCAAUGUAUUGAAAAAAAAGGAUGUUAUAUAUUUUUAACCCUAUCCCUAAUAAAUUAAAAAUAAUAACAUUAUAUGUAACUAGGAAUUUACCUAGAGAAAUAAAGGAACAAAUACUACAUAAAUUAAUUGUAGAAUUUAUCAAAGAUAGACGUACAUAUGAAAUAAUUAUCGAAGUAUUUGAAAAUGAAUUAUACCAUAAAGAAAUAUUUGAAUCAUCAUAAAAAUAUAAUGGAAGAAACUAAAAAUAUUUUAGAAAGAAAGUUAAGAAGAAUAAGAUUAAUAAAUAAUAAAAUUUUAGAUGAAUUAUUAAUACCUGGAAAUAUAACUAAAAAAAAAAACAAAUAUUAAAUUAAAACAAGAAAGGUAUAAAAAAAAGCAAGAUAUUAUGAAAAAUUAAAGGAACUAACAAAUAUUGAAGUUAUAAAACAAAAGUAUGAUAAAAUAAUAAGAGAUUGUAAAAAUGCUGAGUAUAUAGCAUUUUAUUAUUGUCAAUCAAAAAAUCGAUAAAAGAAAAUGUCAAUCAGUGAACAUAUGGAAGAAUUAAAAUAUUUAAUAAGAACAUUAAUAAAUGAUGUACAAGAAAUAAAGAAUGAAAUAAAAGAAGUAAGAAAUGAUAUAAAUAUAUUGAAACUUGAUGUCAGAAAAUUAAAAAAAAAUGAAGAAAAGAAUAAUAGAAUAGAUAAAAAAUUUAUAAAAAAAGAAAUAACCAGAAUAGGGAAAAAACAUAUUGAAAGAGAAAAUAUAAUAAUAGAAACAGGAAGCAUGGAUGAUGAGUUUUAGAAAAAAUAUAUUACCUAAAACAUUAGAAGAAGAGGAAUCUAGAGAAAAAAUGUUAAGUAAACAAAAAAUUAAAGAAAAUCAAGACAAAGAAAAUGAAUAAAGAAUUAGAUCUACUUAUAAAUAAUUUUGAUUAUUUAAACUUAGAAAGUAUAGAUGAUGAAUACCAAAUCUUAAUGAAUAUUGGAGGAGGACAUAAUCCCGUAGGAACCUCUAAACAAGAAUCAAUAGAUCCAGAUGAACGUUAUGCUCCGAUUUAUAAUAAACCAUAUAGACAAUUUUAUGAUAAAAUAAGAGAUAAACAACCGUCUAAAGGAAAUAAAUAUAGUAAUAGAUUUGAAUUAAAUAAUAAUUAUGAUAAACCUGUUAACCAUGGAGGAACAAAAUUAGACGUAAAUUGCAAAAUAGACACUAAGAAAGCCUUAAUAACAUGGGCAGACUCAAUGAUAUUAUUCUUUUUAUAUAAUAAAGAUGAUACAUGGGAAAAUACUGAAAGAAGAAUAGAUUUUUUAAUUGCAUCUUUUGAAGGAAAUGUUAGAAAUUGGUGGGAAGGAAUUAGUAGUGAUACAAAAUCAUUAAUAAAAAGAAAUGUACAGAUAGAAAUAAUAAAGUCAGAUAAACUAAGAAUAGAAAGAUUAGUAGAAUAUAUUACAAAUGAAUUCUUAGGAGAAAAUUGGUUAAGAAAUUAUGAAGAAGAAGCAAUACGAGAAAAAGAUAAUGCAAAAGUUAAGUUAAUUAAUUUAACUAUUUGUGAUAUGUGUAAAAUUAAAGAAUAUACUUGUAAAUUCAGGGAUUACUAUUAUACUCAAUUUUAUAGUAAUGAAAAUCAAGAAAUAUAUCAAUAUAUGUAUUACAAUAAAUUACCAAGAUCAUGGGGAAUAUAUUUUAAAAUAGAAUUUAAAAAAUAUAUUAAAGAAAAUAUAGGAAUACCUGCAACACUAGGAUCAAGAAUAAAUUUUUUGUUUGAAAGACUUUUAUUUUUAUUUGAAAGACUUGCAUAUAUAUGUCAACAAAGACAAUUAUUGAAAAAAUCAGGAAAAUUAACUAGAAUAUGUUGUGAAGAUAUGGAAAAACCUACAAGAUGAGGAUGUAAUUCUGAAAAAAGAAAUAAAAGAAAGUAUAAAAACAAAAAGUUUAAAAAAUAUAGAAACUUUAAGAAAAAAUACAUAAAACCUGGAAGGAAAUAUUAUAAAAGAAAAAAUAAUAUAUAGAAAAAUAAACCUUAUAAGAAAGAUAAAAAACAAUGUAAGUGUUGGAAUUGUGGAGAAAAAAGCCAUAUAGGUUCUGAUUGCACAAAGAAAAAAGUGAGAAUAUUACAAAAGGAUUAUUUUGAAAUAGAAAGUGAAUUAAAUAAAAUAUCUGAUAUUGAACAUUAUAAUAAUCAUGAAGUAUUUAUAAGUGAAGCAGAUUCAAAAGAUUAUGGAUCAGAAUCUGAAUAGAGAAAUUGAAGAAAUAGAAAAUAAUAAUAUAGAAAUCCAACAAUAUGAGGGAAUAGAAAAUUAUGGAUUAAAAGUAACUUUUGAUAAUAAUAAAUUUAAGAAAAUACAAAAGUUAUCCUUAGAUUUGAAAAUAGGAAAAUGAGAAAUUCUAAAUAGAAUAUGGAGAAGAGAAAGAAUAUCAAUAAAUGAAUACCAUAAGAUUGAAAAAACUAUAGAUGUUAGGACUGCUCAAGGAACACAUAAAAUAAACAUUUUAACAAAAAAUAUAGUAUCAGAAUUUAGUGAAAAGAUUCAAUAUGUUUAUUUAGCAGGAAUACAAAUAAUGUUUAAAUCCUUAUUUAGGGAAGGAAUAGAUUCACCAUUAACUGUAAGUUUACAUGAUAGAAGAAUUAUAAAUCUGGAAGAUGGUCAUUUAGAAACUAUAGUAGGAAACUUAGCAUAUCAAAAGUUAAUAUUUACUUGUUACCCAAAAUAUUGUGUCUCAUUUAAAGAUAAAAACUUUAAUGAAAUCUUAGGAUUAUAUUUCAAAUUACAUAGAAAUGAUAUAAUGGAACCAGAAGACCAAAUUAUGACUAUGGAAUAUAGGGCAUUAUAUACAUUUACUAAUUCUAAUUAUGGGAAUAUUUAUUCUAAUAAACCAUACAUAGAAAUUCAUAAGGAAUGUAAGGAUAUUAGUAAAAUAGUGGAACCAAACAAACAAAUAAAUUUUAUCCCAGAAGAAUAUGAAUUUAAUAUAACUAAAAAUAAGCAUGAAAUAACAGAGUUGAAAGAAGAAGAAGAUUAUAAAAUAACAUUUCAUAAUGGAAGGUUGAUAAAGAAAUCAAGAAGUCUUAGACUACCUAAUAAAAAAGAAUAUUUAGGAGAAACUAGUGGUAUAAAAGAAAUAAAACCUUAUAGAAAUAUUGGAAAUAUGAAAAUAGAAGGAAAAUAUUUCAACGGGAGAAGGUAUAUAAAAGGACCAAAUAUAUUGAUAGAUACAGGUGCUGGUGAAUGUCAUAUGCCUGUAAUUAAAAAUGAAGGAUUAAUGACUUAUAAAACAAAACCAUAUGAAUACAGGAAUUUUGAUGGACAACUAUAUAUUACGGAAUUAAAAGUAAAGGUACCAAUAAAAAUAGGUGGGAUUGAUCUCUAGUACCAUGUUAUUUGGAUAAAAGUAUGGAUAUUGAACCUCAUAUAUUAUUAGGAAUGAGUUUCUUAAAUAGAUUAGAAGAUUAUAGUAUAAAAAGAGAAGGGUUAUAUAUAACUCAUAAAGGACAAACUACAUUGUGUAAAAUAGGAAGUGGAUGAAUAAUCAAAUAAGUUUUUCAUUAGCAGUAUACAUACAAGUUACUAUAGUAGAAACAAAUAUAACAAUUUGUGCCUUAAUUGAUACAGGAAGUUAUAUAACAAUUUUUAAAAAUUUCCUAAUAAAAUCAUGGAAUAAAAAUAGUAAAAUAAAAAUAAUAGAAGUGACUAGAGAAAGCACUCAAAUAAUUGAUAGUGCUGAAAAAGCUAAUAUAAUACUUGGUAGUAAACAAGUUAUAAUAAAUAAAGUAUAUAAUUAUAAUAAAUUAGAAUGUGAUAUAUUAUUAGAAAAUGACUUUAUCCAACAAUUUCAAUAUUAUAAACAAAAUAAUUACAUGAUAAUAUUACAAACAUCUUGUGCACAUCUAUUAAAAAUAUUAAGAGAUUUUAGACCCUACAGAGUUCAGCCAACCCAGCGUGGUGAUAAAUGGGAAAAAAGACCAAUAGUACAAGAUGAACUAAAAAAUAAAAAACUAUCAUAUAAAAAGAUCCUAAAGACAUUAAUAGAAAUAAGUUUGGAAAAAAUCAUAGAACAAUUAGAAAAAAUUUAUAGAGAAAACUCAUUAUUAUUUUGGAAACUAUAUCAUCCUAGAGCUAAAAUAGAAUUAACAGAAAAUGUUAUAAUAAGAGUUAGACCAAUGAUGUAUACCUUACAGGAUAUGCAAGAAUUUAAAAUUCAAAUAAAAGAACUCCUAGAACAAAAUUUAAUUAGACCCAAUAAUGGACCUUAUAGUAGUCCAACUUUUAUGAUUAUGAAACAUUCUGAGCAGAUUAGAGGAAAACCUAAAAUAGUAAUAAACUAUAAGGAACUAAAUAAAUAUUCUAAAUUUGAUGGUUAUUUUUUACCAAAUAAAGAAGUCCUAAUAAAUCUUGCAAAAGGAAAACAAUAUUAUUCCAAAUUUGAUUCUAAAUCAGGAUUUUGGCAAAUAAAAAUGGAAGAAGAUAGUAUACAAUAUACAGCUUUUAGUACACCUCAGGGAAAAUAUGAAUGGUUAGUUAUGCCAUUUGGUUUAAAAAAUACACCACAAAUAUUUCAAAAAAAAUGGAUAAUAUAUUCAAAAAGUUUAGUGAUUUUCUUAUUGUUUAUAUAGAUAAUGUACUAAAAUGCUCAAAUAAUAAAAAAGAACAUAGGAGUCAUUUAUUACAAUUCAUAAAUGAAUGCAAAAAGGAAGGAAUUGUACUUUCUAAAAAGAAAUCUAUAAUUGAGAAAUAAGAAAUAGAUUUUCUAGGAUUAUCAAUAGAUAGAAAAGGAAUAAAAUUACAGACUCAUAUAUCUAAAAAGAUAGAAAGCUUUCCAAAUGAAUUAAAAUCCAAAGAACAAAUACAAAAAAUUUUAGGAUGUCUAAACUAUGCUGAAGGAUUUAUUGAAAAUCUCUCAAAAAAGAGACAUAAGAUACAAAUUUUACUUAGAAAACCAAAUACUAAGGGUUAGAACAAAGAACAUACUGAAAUUGAUAAAUCGUUAAAGAAGAAUGUAAAAUUUUACCAAAAUUAAGGUUACCAGAUUAAAAAGAUAAUCUAAUUGUUAAUACUGAUGCUUCCGAUAAAUAUUGGGCAACUAUAUUAAAAACAGAUUUAAAUGAAAUAUGCAGAUAUUCAAGUGGAACUUUUAACCAAACAGAAAUAAAUUAUACUACUCAUGGAAAAAGAAUUGUUAACAAUUAUUAGAGGAAUAAAAAAGUUUUCAUUAUUCCUUUUAUCUAAAAAAUUUAUUGUUGAAACUGAUAAUUCUCAAGUUGCAGGAUUUAUUAGAAAUAAGUUACCUAUGGAACCUCAAUAUAGAAGGUUACACAGAUGGCAAGUAUAUUUAUCAUUCUACAAUUUUGAUAUUAUUCAUAUUAAAGGAAUAAAUAACUAUCUUGCAGAUUUUUUGAGCAGGAAUAUCGAAUUUGGAGAUAGAUAAUAUCAAAAAUUCAUUAAUAGACGUCAACAGAUGAAUGAAAUUCCUUAUGGAAGAAUCAGAAGAUAUGAAAAUUGGAAUUGAGCAAUUAGAGCAAAUGGCAGAAUCUAUCCAACAAAAUGUCAAAUUGUUGGUGGAAAUCUCUAAUUCUCAUUCCAAACAUACCAAAGAAUUGAAUGACAGAAUUAUUGAUAUCACUUCACAAUUCGAGUCAUUAAAUACCAAACAGAAAAUACCAAUUGAUACAAUCUCAAAAAUACAAACAGGUACACAGCUAGGAAGCAGCAGUGGACCCAACAAUAUCAAACGAGAUAUAGCAAGUCCUCGGAAGGUGACUAUAAAAAAUGGUGAUGAACAUACAAGAGUUAUCAGGAUCAAAACUGAUGAAGAUGAUGAUACCCCUUUAUCAUCAAAAGAAGAAGAAUAUAGAUUAUUUGCCAAAAUUGUUUAUGAAUUGGAAGAAAAUGAAUCAUAAUUUAUUGCAUCAGGAGAUCAUGUUUAUCCCAGAUUAAUAAUUACCAAAGAUGCAGACCCUUUCAUGAUCAAAAUGGCAGCAGAUUAUGGAUUUCUGGAUUUGAUUUAUCCAGGAAAAGAUUUAAAAGAAAUUGAAAAUUUUGACGAUAUAUUCAGGGCAGAAGUCUCAAAAUUUGCCCAAGGGAGAUCGAUUUAUAUCAAAUUUUAUUCAAUAAGUCCUUAGGUUGAUGGAAGGAUAUACUAUCCUGCUGAACAUAUUAUCACAAUUGGAUAUGUUGGCCGAGAUUUCCAGAUUGAAGUUGGCCGAAAUAAUAAACCAUUGCCUGAAAUCAAUAAAUCAUGGAUAAAAUUCCAAAGAGUUUUGGGGAUGAAAGUUCUUUACAACAUUGCAAAGAACUUAUAUGAUAAAAAAUUCAGAUGCUUGUGUCAAUAUGAAGGAUGGACACUCCUUACGAAUAAUGGAAAAGAAAAAUUAACUAUUUUGAAAGAAUAUAUCCAGAAAUUUGAUACUCAUCAAAUUAAUGGAAGUCCUACAACAAUCCAAGAAUCAUGCAGACUGAGGGAGUGCCCCACAUGCAGACAAGAUUAAAAAGAUUGAUUCUUCAAGAUAAAAGAUGAAUGGAGAUAAAUAAAAGGGGACCUACCACUACCAAAACAUCUAGCCAGCUGCAUAUGGAGCCAAAGAUGAAGAGGCAAUAAUAGAGGAAAAGAUGUCUCUUUAAUGAAAAAGCAAAAAACGCAUGUGAAAAUGUAGACCCCAUGAGGAAAAGAAUAGAAAGGCAUGUGAGCCUUUUUCAAAUUCUGAUAUAUACAAUGAUAUAAUAGACCAAUAAUAGUAAGAUUGAGUCACGUAUAAAUGAGGUCUUUGGGAAAGAAUGAAUCAUCUCGAGUUAGAAAUCAUUCUCUUUCCUUAAACAUUCUUUAAAAUCAAUUUUUCUGGAAGCCCCUUGUAUACAAUAGAAAUCUUGUAUAAAUCAUUAUAGAAAUAAAUCCCAAUCUUUUGAUAUCAGAAAAAUAUGAGUUUCUAAACUUCCUAUCCCAUAUAUUCUUGACAGAUUGAAGAAGAUAAUCUCUUUCUUACUUUAACAAAGAGAGAAUUUUCUUUACUUAAAAUCCUUAUUCUUAAUUCUAAGAAAAGAUACAGUGAGGGCAAGAAGCUGAAAUAGCAGAAUUCCCAUUAAGGCAAAAGGUCGUUUCAGGGAGCAGUUUGCAGAUUCAGAGCCUGAAGGUCACUCAAUUCUAAGAAUAUAGAUUUAAGAUCAUAAGUAAUGUAAAAUUAUUGUCUUUGUUAAAUUUAGAAAGAAUUCUUCUAAUAUCUUGAAAGAAUCGUAAGGAUUAUUACUUUUCAUGUUUACAAAAAACUUAUCUAUCAUGUUAUUAUUAUUCAUAAAGCUUGUAAGGAAUUAUCUAAAUGAUGACAGGCUAUAUAAUUAAAGGAUUAGAUAAUCUGUUAGAAAGACUAUUAGAAAAAAUAAAAAAUAUUUUUUCUCAACUAGAGAUUAUGGAUAUAUCAUCUAAGGAAUGUGAUAAUCUUAAAGAAUUACAUGACAAUUAUAUUACAGAUUAUGCUAAUUUAUUAGAUCAAAGGAUGAAACUAUAUAUUAAAAUUAGAAAUGAAAGAAAUAGAAGAAUUUUGAAACUAUUCCAAUAAAUUGAGAUAUUUUGUGCAAAAUAUGAUAAGUCAUUUCAUUAAAGGUAUUAUAGACAUUUUGGCAAGAAUGAAUAGUGAUAGACCAUUUAGAAAAAUCCCCCUCAAUUCACUCACCAUGUCCACCUCCUCCUGAUCAGUCCUCCAUUUCACAUUUUUAACGACAAUUGAUUCGUUUCUGCAACCACGCAACGCUCAUUCUCAGAAUCCAAUCACACAUCAAUAACACUAGGAAUUAAAGACCCUACAAUUAUUCAAGCAAUAAGAUGAAAUACUGUGAUUGUAGGGAAAUCUCAGCUUCCAGAGUGGGUUUAAUGGCAAUAUUUUUUGAAGAGGAGAGAAUGAAGUGGGGUGUGACAAAAUAAAUGGAAUUUCACAAAAAGCACAAUAGAGACUACUACGAGUAAAAGAAUGAAGCAAAAAACACAUGGACAAAGAACUACCGUUAAUUUGCUUUCCUUGAAAUCAUCAACUUCGUACCUUUCAGAUUUGUAAUUCGGUGGUGCUAAGGAAGAGUUUGCCAUUUACGGUGGUGUUUCUGGUGGAAGGGGUUUCUUCAAAAUGCCCAAAUAUGCAGCCCUUUUGUGUAAAUUGAAGAAAAAGAGAACGCUUAAAUUAAGUGGGACGUGGAUUCGAAGAUCUAUGAUUUCUUCAAAAUGCUCAAAUACAUAGCCGUUAGUGUAAAUUCGACCAAAAAAAAAGAAUGCUUAAAUUGAGUGGGAUUUGGAUUUCGAUUUGAGGAGUAGAAAUUUCUCCACAGUCUCAAGCAAAUGACAAAUUCAAAGUACUGGGAAAUUCGAAGGGAAAAAAGAAGUAAUGAUUGCAGUUGGAAGUUUCAGAUCAAGGGUUCACGCCAAAAAUGGAGGUUUGGUGGCUAGACAGUGAUGCUGUGGCUGUGGGUUGGUGAAGGAGAAAGACAAUGGGAGCAUGUUGAAUGAGCUGUAAAGUUAACUUGUUUAUCGCAACUUUAC
RNAcentral lists this long non-coding RNA (11344 nucleotides) under Olea europaea (common olive). Its description in RNAcentral is "long non-coding RNA (OEUR_LNC013426)". Lineage: Eukaryota; Viridiplantae; Streptophyta; Magnoliopsida; Lamiales; Oleaceae. The record is from RNAcentral.